This 618-nucleotide ribosomal RNA is filed under the name uncultured bacterium. RNAcentral describes it as "bacterial SSU rRNA". The stretch from base 1 to 519 matches the Rfam family "Bacterial small subunit ribosomal RNA", at positions 338 to 873 of the family's 1533-position model. The record is from RNAcentral.
CCUACGGGAGGCAGCAGUGGGGAAUCUUGCGCAAUGGGCGAAAGCCUGACGCAGCCAUGCCGCGUGAAUGAUGAAGGUCUUAGGAUUGUAAAAUUCUUUCACCGGGGACGAUAAUGACGGUACCCGGAGAAGAAGCCCCGGCUAACUUCGUGCCAGCAGCCGCGGUAAUACGAAGGGGGCUAGCGUUGCUCGGAAUUACUGGGCGUAAAGGGAGCGUAGGCGGAUAGUUUAGUCAGAGGUGAAAGCCCAGGGCUCAACCUUGGAAUUGCCCUUGAUACUGGCUAUCUUGAGUACGGAAGAGGUAUGUGGAACUCCGAGUGUAGAGGUGAAAUUCGUAGAUAUUCGGAAGAACACCAGUGGCGAAGGCGACAUACUGGUCCGUUACUGACGCUGAGGCUCGAAAGCGUGGGGAGCAAACAGGAUUAGAUACCCUGGUAGUCCACGCUGUAAACGAUGAGUGCUAGUUGUCGGCAUGCAUGCAUGUCGGUGGACGCAGCUAACGACAUUAAGUACACCUCCGCCGUCGGGGAGGUACGGUCGGCGAAGAAUUAAAACUAACAAAUAGAAGUUAGACGGCGUGAGACGUAGCCGACGGACGACCGACGAGGGGAGGUUAGG